This 272-nucleotide ribosomal RNA is filed under the name uncultured organism. RNAcentral describes it as "partial 16S ribosomal RNA". It matches the Rfam family "Bacterial small subunit ribosomal RNA", at positions 123 to 409 of the family's 1533-position model. The record is from RNAcentral.
AACUUGCCCUUGGGAGGGGGACAACAACUGGAAACGGCUGCUAAUACCCCGUAAGCUGAGGAGCAAAAGGGAGGGAUCCGCCCAAGGAGGGGCUUGCGUCUGAUUAGCUGGUUGGUGAGGCAAUGGCUUACCAAGGCGACGAUCAGUAGCUGGUCUGAGAGGAUGAUCAGCCACACUGGGGCUGAGACACGGCCCAGACUCCGUAGGGAGGCAGCAGUGGGGAAUCUUCCGCAAUGGGCGAAAGCCUGACGGAGCAAUGCCGCGUGGAGGCA